RNAcentral lists this ribosomal RNA (627 nucleotides) under Triticum aestivum (bread wheat). RNAcentral describes it as "partial small subunit ribosomal RNA". The record is from RNAcentral. Lineage: Eukaryota; Viridiplantae; Streptophyta; Magnoliopsida; Poales; Poaceae.
AUGGUGGAGGAACCGUCCGCCAAGCAUCACCAUGGUGAGACGUCAAACAAGAGCAACAACCUCGUCAAAAUUCACGUCCCCGGCGAGAAGCGUGAGUACACCAAAACACUCAAAGGGGUUGAGCUCCAUGGCAAGGAGAUGGUAGAGAUCGUCUGCACCAGCGUACCAAACAAGGCUGACCAGGUGAUGAGCAGGCUCAGGAUGAAGGGCGGCGGCUUGUAUCCGAGCUUCAUCAGAGUUGAUGUGGAGCCCAAGCGCCUCAAAGACAUCCUGCAGGAGAAGAAAUUGUACACAUUUGUCGGUUUCAGCAUUGGAGGUGACAAGCGGAUGUUGGACAAGUCUGGUUUGGAGAUCCACCCCAACAACUUCAUCGACAUGCAGCGCAAGUGGAAAGAUCCAAAGACCGACAAAUACUACGAGUCCUUGGCCGAUGUUGCAGGCGGCGUCAUCCACGCAUUCUACGAUGGCAUGAAGACAAAUAUGGACAGGGCAGACCACAAACUGUGGGGCACCAGCCCGCUGCCAGACAACCUCAUCAUGUACGCAGGAAUAGAUACAUAUGCAACGUACAAGUCAUGGAAUACAAUCGACAACAUCGUGACAAGUUGGGAUAUUUCAAAAGAGUAG